CCUACGGGAGGCAGCAGUGGGGAAUAUUGCGCAAUGGGCGAAAGCCUGACGCAGCGACGCCGCGUGAGGGAUGAAGGUCUUCGGAUCGUAAACCUCUGUCAGCAGGGAAGAACGGUCACUGUGCUAAUCCGCAGUUAAUUUACGGUACCUGCAAAGGAAGCACCGGCUAACUCCGUGCCCGCAGCCGCGGUAAUACGGAGGGUGCGAGCGUUAAUCGGAAUUACUGGGCGUAAAGCGCUCGUAGGAGGUAUGUCAAGUCACGGGUGAAAUCCCCGCGCUCAACGUGGGAACUGCCUUUGAAACUGGCAAACUGGAGUGUGUGAGAGGAUAGUGGAAUUCCAGGUGUAGGAGUGAAAUCCGUAGAUAUCUGGAGAAACAUCAGUGGCGAAGGCGACUAUCUGGCACAUAACUGACGCUGAGGAGCGAAAGCGUGGGUAGCAAACAGGAUUAGAUACCCCUGUAGUC
Molecule: ribosomal RNA, 465 nt
Filed under: uncultured bacterium
Lineage: Bacteria
Description: partial 16S ribosomal RNA
Rfam family: Bacterial small subunit ribosomal RNA
Source: RNAcentral